UACAGAGGUGGCAAGCGUUGUUCGGAAUUACUGGGCGUAAAGGGCGCGUAGGCGGCCACCGCAAGUCGACUGUGAAAUCUCCGGGCUUAACCCGGAAAGGUCAGCCGAUACUGCGGGGCUAGAGUGCAGAAGGGGCAACUGGAAUUCUCGGUGUAGCGGUGAAAUGCGUAGAUAUCGAGAGGAACACCUGCGGCGAAGGCGGGUUGCUGGGCUGACACUGACGCUGAUGCGCGAAAGCUAGGGGAGCGAACGGG
Molecule: ribosomal RNA, 254 nt
Filed under: uncultured bacterium
Lineage: Bacteria
Description: partial 16S ribosomal RNA
Rfam family: Bacterial small subunit ribosomal RNA
Source: RNAcentral